Molecule: ribosomal RNA, 332 nt
Filed under: Salmonella enterica subsp. enterica serovar Infantis
Lineage: Bacteria; Pseudomonadati; Pseudomonadota; Gammaproteobacteria; Enterobacterales; Enterobacteriaceae
Also listed under: 1 other name
Description: bacterial SSU rRNA
Rfam family: Bacterial small subunit ribosomal RNA
Source: RNAcentral
GUCAAGUCAUCAUGGCCCUUACGACCAGGGCUACACACGUGCUACAAUGGCGCAUACAAAGAGAAGCGACCUCGCGAGAGCAAGCGGACCUCAUAAAGUGCGUCGUAGUCCGGAUUGGAGUCUGCAACUCGACUCCAUGAAGUCGGAAUCGCUAGUAAUCGUGGAUCAGAAUGCCACGGUGAAUACGUUCCCGGGCCUUGUACACACCGCCCGUCACACCAUGGGAGUGGGUUGCAAAAGAAGUAGGUAGCUUAACCUUCGGGAGGGCGCUUACCACUUUGUGAUUCAUGACUGGGGUGAAGUCGUAACAAGGUAACCGUAGGGGAACCUGC